RNAcentral lists this small RNA (1172 nucleotides) under Pongo abelii (Sumatran orangutan). RNAcentral's name for it is "retained intron". Lineage: Eukaryota; Metazoa; Chordata; Mammalia; Primates; Hominidae. The record is from RNAcentral.
AAAGUUACCUGUGGCCGCCCAAGUCCGCCACUUUCUGCUCUGUGUCUGCCCAUUGCCACGAUCCAGGAGGACUCCGCGCCGCCCGGCCGCCUCCGAGCUCGGGCCCCAUGUGAGGGGCCCCCCCUUAUCCCACCUUUCCGGCUAGGUGAGGGCGCGAGCGGGCGAGCGAGCGAGAGUGGUGAGGGGGGACGGAAAAGCAGAAUUACCUGUAGCUCUUGUUCUGCCAUCUCGGGCGCUCUCACACACCUUCACCUGCACAGACUUGAAAGUCCAGUUUCACCAGAGGCUGAGGCUCCAGGAAAAGGGGAGCAAGUUCAUUGGAUCAAACAUGUCACAAGAGUCGGACAAUAAUAAAAGACUAGUGGCCUUAGUGCCCAUGCCCAGCGACCCUCCAUUCAAUACCCGAAGAGCCUACACCAGUGAGGAUGAAGCCUGGAAGUCAUACUUGGAGAAUCCCCUGACAGCGGCCACCAAGGCCAUGAUGAGCAUUAAUGGUGAUGAGGACAGUGCUGCUGCCCUCGGCCUGCUUUAUGACUACUACAAGGUAGGUCCCCAGCCUCCACUUUUCUCUUCUUCCUGCUCCAGGACAACCCUUUGCUGGUGGGAAGAAGGAACAGAUUCUUUGUCCCAGGCCAGGGAACUAAUAGCAUUUCCAAACUCAAUAUAGAAUACAGCCUCUUACUGUUCUCAUUGCCCCCUACUUCCCCAUCUACAGAGCUCAACUCUGUCACCCACCCAGAGGAAGUGCUCAUUUUGGGAUAGUAUUUUUUGUGUUCUUUGUUCACAUGCAUAAAUAUUUGCAUAUUAUUCUUAUCAUAUUACAAAUACUUCCUUGUUACCAUGUUUACUUUAGGAUUAUUAUUUUUGCUGAAAGAAGUAUAUUACAUUGUGUGGCUUUAUUAGUCCAUUUUCACACUGCUGAUAAAGACAUACCGGAGACUGAGAAGAAAAGGAGGUUUAAUUGGACUUACAGUUCCACAUGGCUGGGGAGGCCUCAGAAUCAUGGUGGGAGGCAAAAGGCACUUCUUACAUGGCAGUGGAAACAGAAAAUGAAGAAGACGCAAAAGUGGAAACCCCUGAUAAAACCAUCAGAUCUUGUGAGACUUAUUCGCUAUCACAAGAACAGUAUGGGGGAAACUGCUCCCAUGAUUCAAAUUAUCUCCCACAACCCU